CAUUUCCGCAACCUAAGUACCCUGUGUGUUCAUACACAUGUCGAGUGCUUUGUUUUUGCUGAACAGCUUUAUCUGAAACGAUAAUUUUAUUGGACAUUAAAAACAUUUACGUGCCACGACAUCAACGCCAGUCACAUGAUAUUAAAAAGCCAUGCCAAGAAAUAUGACAUAAGGCAUAAAACAAAGGCAUGAAGCAGACGACAAAUUCUGGGGUGCGUGUGGCGGUAAUGACAAGAAAGGAAAGGCGAAGAGAAAAAGUUGGUCAACGGAGGACCAGUAUCGCAUAUCAGGCCCAUCCGUCAUAAGCUACCCAAGGAUACUGAAGACCCACUCGCCCCUUGACUUUGCUUUGUGCCAAACAUGGCGUAAAACACCGUGCCGAAAUGGAAGCUAAGUAAUAACUCAGCCAAGAGCGUGGCUCAUGCAAGGACCCCUGGCAGGACAUAUAAGGACUUCUUGACUCGGCCAAUUGGUGCACGGGGCCCUAAAGAUCCGAAUGCCGAUGUUGCCUUCGUGGGCCAACACAUCAUGAGCUGACUACGUGACAUUGCGUGGAGUUCUCCUCUGAAUAGACAAAGGCUGGUCCAACCAGCAUGCAAGACUUUUUGUAGUAAAAGCUAAGAAACAAAAAAUUGUUAUUUAUAUGCGGAAAAAUUCUCAUCUACCUAAAUAAAGCUGAUAGGCUUGUGUUUUAAAUAUAAUCCUGAA
This is a long non-coding RNA of Drosophila yakuba, 708 nucleotides long. RefSeq lists it as uncharacterized. The record is from RefSeq and is a predicted model, not a curated record. Lineage: Eukaryota; Metazoa; Arthropoda; Insecta; Diptera; Drosophilidae. The transcript is spliced from 2 exons.